RNAcentral lists this ribosomal RNA (776 nucleotides) under uncultured Neocallimastigales. RNAcentral describes it as "partial large subunit ribosomal RNA". It matches the Rfam family "Eukaryotic large subunit ribosomal RNA", at positions 22 to 620 of the family's 3401-position model. Lineage: Eukaryota; Fungi; Neocallimastigomycota; Neocallimastigomycetes; Neocallimastigales. The record is from RNAcentral.
AGAGAGAGACAUGCGCCGCAUAUCAAUAAGCGGAGGAAAAGAAACUAACAAGGAUUCCCUUAGUAACGGCGAGUGAAGCGGGAAGAGCUCAAAUUUGAAAUCUUCAAGGUUUUACCUUGACGAAUUGUAGUUUAAAGAAGUGUUUUCUGCUGAAGUUUUGGUAAAAGUUCUUUGGAAUAGGACAUCAUAGAGGGUGAGAAUCCCGUAUUUGACCAUUAUUUUCAGCUUUGUGAUACACUUUCAAAGAGUCGGAUUGUUUGGGAAUGCAGUCCAAAAUGGGUGGUAAAUUUCAUCUAAAGCUAAAUAUUGGCGAGAGACCGAUAGCGAACAAGUACCGUGAGGGAAAGAUGAAAAGAACUUUGAAAAGAGAGUUAAACAGUACGUGAAAUUGUCAAAAGGGGAGCGUUUGACACCAGUGUUGUUUUCUCGAAAAUCAAUUAAAAAUGGCUCGAUUUUGUAUUGCUUGAGACCUUAAAAGCUCACUGUACAUUUUUCGUGUCUUUUUUAAUGCACUUUUCGUUUAACAAGUCAACAUCAGUUUCUUUUGUUGUAAAAGGGUCAUUGGAAGGUGGCUUUCUUUUCGGAGAAAGUGUUUAUAGCCUUUGGCCUCUGCAAUCGGAGAGACUGAGGUCUGCAGCGUAGACUCUUCGGGGUUAGAUACAUUUGUGCUAAGUUAUAGCUUUUUAUAGACAACUUGUUGACUAUAAUUAGUCUUGUAGCUUACUCGCUUAUGCUAUUUUACCUACGCUUAGGAUGUUGAAGAUGUAGCACAUCAU